UAAGGAAUAUUGGUCAAUGGACGCAAGUCUGAACCAGCCAUGCCGCGUGGAGGAUGAAGGUCCUCUGGAUUGUAAACUUCUUUUAUCUGGGACGAAACACUUCUUUUCUAAGAGGCCUGACGGUACCAGAUGAAUAAGCACCGGCUAACUCCGUGCCAGCAGCCGCGGUAAUACGGAGGGUGCAAGCGUUAUCCGGAUUCACUGGGUUUAAAGGGUGCGUAGGUGGGUAUGUAAGUCAGUGGUGAAAUCCCCGAGCUUAACUUGGGAACUGCCAUUGAUACUAUAUAUCUUGAAUACCGUAGAGGUAAGCGGAAUAUGUCAUGUAGCGGUGAAAUGCUUAGAUAUGACAUGGAACACCAAUUGCGAGGGCAGCUUACUAUGCGGUGAUUGACACUGAGGCACGAAAGCGUGGGUAGCAAACA
This 422-nucleotide ribosomal RNA is filed under the name uncultured bacterium. Its description in RNAcentral is "bacterial SSU rRNA". It matches the Rfam family "Bacterial small subunit ribosomal RNA", at positions 355 to 774 of the family's 1533-position model. The record is from RNAcentral.